AGGAUUAACGCUGGCGGCGUGCCUGACACAUGCAAGUCGAACGAGGCCGCAAGGCCGAGUGGCGGACGGGUGAGUAACACGUGACCAACCAACCUCGAAGUUGGGAAUAGCUCUGCGAAAGUAGGGGUAAUACCGAAUGUGGCCCAGGGCGGGCAUCCGCCUUGGUCUAAAGAUUCAUCGCUUCGAGACGGGGUCGCGGCCUAUUAGCUUGUUGGUGAGGUAACGGCUCACCAAGGCGAUGAUGGGUAGCUGGUCUGAGAGGACGACCAGCCACACUGGGACUGAGACACGGCCCAGACUCCUACGGGAGGCAGCAGUGAGGAAUCUUCCGCAAAUGGGCGAAAAGCCUGACGGAGCAAACGCCGCGUGUGGGAUGAAGACUCUAGGGUUGUAAAACCACUGUCGGAGGGGACGAUCGGUGACGGUACCCUCCAAGAAAGCCCCGGACUAACCUACGCGCCAGCAGCCGC
Molecule: ribosomal RNA, 470 nt
Filed under: uncultured bacterium
Lineage: Bacteria
Description: SSU rRNA
Rfam family: Bacterial small subunit ribosomal RNA
Source: RNAcentral